UACGGAGGGUGCAAGCGUUAAUCGGAUUUACUGGGCGUAAAGCGCGCGUAGACGGCUUGUUAAGUCGGAUGUGAAAGCCCCGGGCUCAACCUGGGAACUGCACUCGAUGCUGGCGAGCUAGAGUACGAUAGAGGGUGGUAGAAUUCCUAGUGUAGCGGUGAAAUGCGUAGAUAUUAGGAGGAAUACCAGUGGCGAAGGCGGCCAUCUGGAUCGAUACUGACGCUGAAGUGCGAAAGCGUGGGGAGCAAACGGG
RNAcentral lists this ribosomal RNA (253 nucleotides) under uncultured bacterium. Its description in RNAcentral is "partial 16S ribosomal RNA". It matches the Rfam family "Bacterial small subunit ribosomal RNA", at positions 524 to 776 of the family's 1533-position model. The record is from RNAcentral.